RNAcentral lists this transfer RNA (24 nucleotides) under Pseudaraeococcus chlorocarpus. Its description in RNAcentral is "Araeococcus chlorocarpus partial tRNA-Leu". The record is from RNAcentral. Lineage: Eukaryota; Viridiplantae; Streptophyta; Magnoliopsida; Poales; Bromeliaceae.
AGGGNUCAAGUCCCUCUAUCCCCA